Molecule: transfer RNA, 360 nt
Filed under: uncultured Microcystis sp.
Lineage: Bacteria; Bacillati; Cyanobacteriota; Cyanophyceae; Chroococcales; Microcystaceae
Description: partial 16S-23S ribosomal RNA intergenic spacer
Rfam family: tRNA (bases 136-209)
Source: RNAcentral
AAAGGGAGACCUAAUUCAGGUAAAAGACGAAAAAAAAGUAGUCGCUACCAAGAAUCAAUCCCAAAAGGUCGGAGCGAGGCGAAAUUGGCUUUCAAACUAGGUUCUGGGUUCAAACAAGACCUGAAUCAGGAACAAGGGCUAUUAGCUCAGGUGGUUAGAGCGCACCCCUGAUAAGGGUGAGGUCCCUGGUUCGAGUCCAGGAUGGCCCACCUGCACAGGUGGCAAAAACAAGAGAAGCGAGGAAUCAGCACCUUAUCUUACUUAUAUAGUAAGAGAGAAUGCUGGCUCUGAGUAAGAGUCCAGAGGAACCUUGAAAACUGCAUAGAGCUAGGUGAAAAAGCCAAAAAAGAAGACCGCAAG